RNAcentral lists this ribosomal RNA (116 nucleotides) under uncultured bacterium. RNAcentral describes it as "partial 16S ribosomal RNA". It matches the Rfam family "Bacterial small subunit ribosomal RNA", at positions 1367 to 1482 of the family's 1533-position model. The record is from RNAcentral.
UACGUUCCCGGGUCUUGUACACACCGCCCGUCACACCAUGGGAGCGGGUUUUACCAGAAGUAGUUAGCCUAACCGCAAGGGGGGCGAUUACCACGGUAGGAUUCGUGACUGGGGUG